Non-coding RNA from Cercophora samala, 113 nucleotides. NCBI's taxonomy places the organism in Eukaryota, Fungi, Ascomycota, Sordariomycetes, Sordariales, Lasiosphaeriaceae. The record is from the annotation of a GenBank genome assembly.
GGCUCGGUAGUCUAAUGGUAUGACGCUCUGGUCCGUAUCUCGCACGGGGUCUUCUAGACCUGUUCCAGUUGUCGAUCGCAGAGAAUUCGCGGGUUCGAAUCCUGCCCGGGUCC